Molecule: long non-coding RNA, 642 nt
Filed under: Marmota monax (woodchuck)
Lineage: Eukaryota; Metazoa; Chordata; Mammalia; Rodentia; Sciuridae
Source: RNAcentral
UAACUCUGAGCAUGACCAGCUAGGAUGAGGCUGGUCAAGGGUGCCCUCCCACUCCCAAUCCCUGUCCCAUGAAUAGACAUGUAUGCCCCACACCUAGGCUGGAACCGGGUUCAUGGUUAACCAAGCCUGAAGGGGCCAGCUGCUCCUACCCCACUCUUGUCACCAUUCCCCCAAGACAAGCUCCAUCCUAAUAUCUCACUCCAGGGAGCCGGGCCCUGGGAAGCAACCUUCUCCUCAUUCACACCCUUCCCCAUAGAGCAUGACCUCCUGUCUAUGCAUGAACUGCCUGUGGCUGUGGUCAUUCUGACUCACAGAGCUAAUGUGUGCGACCCCGUGUGAACCCACCAGGAAAGCCCAGCUGCGCUCCCUCACCCCUGGGAUCCCACAUGGUGACUGGGAGGUAGACAAAGAGCACUUCCGGUUACCCAAGUGGAGACCCCUAGGGUGACAUCUCUCUACCACUGCCCCCUUCAGUCUUACCUCUCAGUGACCUGGGCUGCAGGGGCUGAGGAACAUCGUCUAGAAGCCAUGUAGCUGAGUAGUCACUCAGAACUUCUAGGGUCAGCUGGGGUGGGGGGUUAAAUGACAGGGGUGCCAAGGAGGGAGUGAACUGCCUUGAGUGUGAGCUGGAGAGCCUGGGAC